UUCUUGUACAAAAGCUAACACGAGUUGUGGCGGGACUGACUCCGAGAGGAGGCUUCAACGUGAUUCGAGUUGCGAGACAUCCACGCCGUGCCCAAAAACGACACGAAAUCGCACCUUGAUAGGCCUAACCUUUGACUGCUCAACGCGCGUAAUUUGAUCUAAAAUUUUUAUUUUUAUAAGACCUGUUCCUCCUCAUAUAUAAACUUGAAUUCCAUCUCCAGCUGCCUCAACAACACCCUUUCCUCUCUUCUUCUCUUUCUCUCCGUAGAAUUUGCAGUAAUGAAGAAUCGAGGGUCUGCCAAAAUCUCUGUCAAAUGGAUCCCGAUCCUCUGUGUCUUUUGUUUUGCUCUUGGAAUUAUCUUCUCUAACAGGGCGUGGGAUGCACCUGAGUCCAACGGUCAGCUCAUAGCGCAGGGUCGUCAAGAACAAGAGUUGCAAGUUGUCUCCGAAGAUUCCACAGCUCAGAAGAUACUUUCACAUGAUAAAAAUGUAAUGGGCGAAGUCUUGAAAACCCAUGAAGCAAUUCAAUCGCUAGACAAGUCAAUUGCAAUGCUUCAAAUGCAGUUAGCAGCAUCUAGGAGUUCUCAGGAAAUGAGCUUGGAUGGCUCCGCUGCCUUGUCUCAUGAUGGCCCACCCCGGCAGAAAGUUUUCAUGGUUAUUGGGAUUAAUACAGCUUUUAGCAGUAGAAAGAGGCGUGAUUCUGUCAGAGAAACUUGGAUGCCUCAAGGAGAGAAGCUUCUUCAAUUGGAGCGUGAGAAGGGGAUUGUUAUUCGCUUCAUGAUUGGCCAUAGGUGAUUGUUUUCACACCCUUUUCUUUCUUUAAGCAUUAAUUUUUUUGUGGGUAGGAAAAGUUUCAGUAUGCCAUAGGAGGUAGAAAUUGCAUUUCUCUCAGAAAUACUAUAAAAUUUUAUUGUUCUCCUGUUGCAUUUAGGUCAGUUAAGUAUAAUGUCAUUCAGGGUAAUGGACAUGCCAAUAUGAACUGAUUCAUGUGCCAUUUGCAAAGGCAGUCUGACUCCAAAGCGGUAAAGCUAUAUAAACACUUGCAUUUUUGCAGUAGUUAUUUCUUUCUUCCUGGAUAUUUUGGCUUUCAAAUUGAAUUCUACUUCUACCUGCUUUUGAAGCACCUUAGGUGAAGCUCUCUCAUCAACCUGCAUUAUUUAUAACAAUUGUUGUCUUUAAUUGAAAAAUACACUUCACUAAUGAAGGAAAAAGUUAAUUUAUUCGUUCCACAAUCUGAAUGCACUUGGAAUUUCUGGGAAAUCUAUAGGGAACUAAUAUAUUUGCUUUUGGAAGUCCCAUUUAUAGAAUGCUGAACUUUCCUUUAAGUGACUAUGACCUGUUUAACAUUUUACACUACUGUAAUUUGCUUCUGGUGAAUGUGUCCUGCAUGACAUAUAGUGUAAUCCUUUUGCUUUGUAGUUACUAGUUUCUAAUUCUUCUUCAAGUGGUAUCUUCUCUUGUUUUCCAUAUUUGGACUGAUGCGUCUUAUUCAACCUCUGACACUAAUUAAAUAAACUCAUGCUGACAUAAAACAUUUAGGGCAAAAAUUAACAUUUUCUGGAAGUGCGUUCUGUGUACUAUUAUCCCUUAGUUGUAGAUGUAGAAUGGAAAUUAACUUUAUGCAACACAGUUUUUUAAUUCACUGAGUAGAUAAACUGAUUUGCUUCAUAGAUAUAGGUCAAAACUAUUUUGCAUUUGUUGGUAUGAACUCUUUGGUGAUUGUGUCAUCAGAAUCUCCAAAUCUUUAUGUCGGAUCGUCUACUAGACCUUAUGAUGUUGGUUGAUAAAACAUCCAUUUGCAUUCACAUAAUCCAUCAUUGCAAUGUGGUAAAAGAAGAAAUAGAAAAAUACUUGUGUUGACCCUUUUAAUUGCAUAGCUCUCUUGAAUGAAGCUGUUACUUUACGCAAUGUAUCUUGUGUUUUUUUCCUGAAGAAAUGGAUAAUCAAGAAAAUUGGUUAACGUCAGAGAGCUUGUUAUAAUGAUAAAAACAACAAAUUCCCCCUUUUGAUAUCACUUUGAACAAAGCUACUUAACAUAAAAUUUCUUUGUUGUAUUGAAUUGGGAACUGACGUUAAUGAUAAAUGUAUUCAUUGUUUCAGUGCCACAUCUAAUAGCAUUUUAGAUAGAGCCAUUGAUUCAGAAGAUUCUCAGCAUAAGGAUUUCCUUAGACUGGAGCAUGUUGAAGGAUACCAUGAAUUGUCUGCAAAAACAAAAAUAUUCUUCUCCACUGCUGUUGCUAAGUGGGAUGCUGAAUAUUACGUCAAGGUGGAUGAUGAUGUCCAUGUUAAUCUGGGUAUGCUGGCGGCUACUCUGGCACGGCAUCGUUCAAAACCCAGAGUGUACAUUGGAUGCAUGAAGUCGGGACCUGUUCUUGCUCAAAAGAAUGUCAAAUAUCAUGAACCAGAGUAUUGGAA
Molecule: unclassified non-coding RNA, 2415 nt
Filed under: Hevea brasiliensis (rubber tree)
Lineage: Eukaryota; Viridiplantae; Streptophyta; Magnoliopsida; Malpighiales; Euphorbiaceae
Source: RNAcentral